RNAcentral lists this transfer RNA (68 nucleotides) under Plecotus auritus (brown big-eared bat). Its description in RNAcentral is "tRNA-Glu". The record is from RNAcentral. Lineage: Eukaryota; Metazoa; Chordata; Mammalia; Chiroptera; Vespertilionidae.
GUUCUUAUAGUUGAAGUACAACAAUGAUUUUUCGUGUCAUUAGUCGUGGGUAUAUCCAUGUAAGAAUA